This 78-nucleotide transfer RNA is filed under the name Sphaerodactylus townsendi. RNAcentral describes it as "tRNA-Gly". Lineage: Eukaryota; Metazoa; Chordata; Lepidosauria; Squamata; Sphaerodactylidae. The record is from RNAcentral.
GAGCCACGUGGCGUAGUGGUUAAGCACUUGCACUGCCUGCCACUCACAUGGUCAGGAGUUUGAGCCCCCUGUGGGUCA